This 425-nucleotide ribosomal RNA is filed under the name uncultured bacterium. Its description in RNAcentral is "partial 16S ribosomal RNA". It matches the Rfam family "Bacterial small subunit ribosomal RNA", at positions 354 to 796 of the family's 1533-position model. The record is from RNAcentral.
GUUAGGAAUAUUGGACAAUGGGCGAAAGCCUGAUCCAGCCAUGCCGCGUGAACGAUGAAGGCCUUCGGGUUGUAAAGUUCUUUAGCCGAUGAUUAUAAUGACUGUAGUCGGAAAAUAAGCCCCGGCUAACUUCGUGCCAGCAGCCGCGGUAAUACGAAGGGGGCGAGCGUUAUUCGGAAUCACUGGGCGUAAAGCGUGCGUAGGCGGUCUCGUAAGUUAGGAGUGAAAGCCCAGGGCUCAACCUUGGAAUUGCUCUUAAUACUGCAAGGCUAGAAUCUCGGAGAGGAUAGCGGAAUUUCCAGUGUAGCAGUGAAAUGCGUAGAUAUUGGAAGGAACACCAGUGGCGUAAGCGGCUAUCUGGACGAGUAUUGACGCUGAGGCACGAAAGCGUGGGGAUCAAACAGGAUUAGAUACCCCGGUAGUCC